This 394-nucleotide RNase P RNA is filed under the name Ruegeria halocynthiae. RNAcentral's name for it is "Bacterial RNase P class A". It matches the Rfam family "Bacterial RNase P class A". Rfam says of the family: Ribonuclease P (RNase P) is a ubiquitous endoribonuclease, found in archaea, bacteria and eukarya as well as chloroplasts and mitochondria. Its best characterised activity is the generation of mature 5'-ends of tRNAs by cleaving the 5'-leader elements of precursor-tRNAs. Lineage: Bacteria; Pseudomonadati; Pseudomonadota; Alphaproteobacteria; Rhodobacterales; Roseobacteraceae. The record is from RNAcentral.
GCGGAGGGCCGGAUGGCCGCUGGGGUCGCGAGACCCGAGAGGAAAGUCCGGACUCCACAAGGCAACGGUGCCGGGUAACGCCCGGGCGGGGAAACCCGACGGAAAGCGCCACAGAAAUCAGACCGCCACACGCGUGUGGUAAGGGUGAAACGGUGGGGUAAGAGCCCACCGCGCCGCUGGCAACAGCGGCGGCACGGCAAGCCCCACCGGGAGCAAUGCCGAAUAGGGUCCCCGCGCGGGCCGGUCGGUGCGAACCGAUACCGCCGCUAGGCUCGCCUUGGCCGAGAGGGACCGGGUUGGCAGCUCGAGCCGCGCAGCAAUGCACGGCCUAGAGGAAUGGUCAUCGAAGGGGGCAACCCCGGAACAAGAUCCGGCUUACAGGCCCUCCGCGCAU